This 460-nucleotide ribosomal RNA is filed under the name uncultured bacterium. RNAcentral's name for it is "partial 16S ribosomal RNA". It matches the Rfam family "Bacterial small subunit ribosomal RNA", at positions 338 to 795 of the family's 1533-position model. The record is from RNAcentral.
CCUACGGGAGGCAGCAGUGAGUAAUAUUGGUCAAUGGACGAGAGUCUGAACCAGCCAAGUAGCGUGCAGGAUGACUGCCCUAUGGGUUGUAAACUUCUUUUAUAUGGGAAUAAAAUGUUCCACGUGUGGGAUUUUGUAUGUACCAUAUGAAUAAGGAUCGGCUAACUCCGUGCCAGCAGCCGCGGUAAUACGGAGGAUCCGAGCGUUAUCCGGGUUUAUUGGGUUUAAAGGGAGCGUAGGUGGAUUGUUAAGUCAGAUGUGAAAGUUUGCGGCUCAACCGUGGAAUUGCAGUUGAGACUGGAUGACUAGAGUAUAGAUGAGGUAGGCGGAAUGUGUGGUGUAGCGGUGAAAUGCGUAGAGAUCAUACAGAACUCCGAUUGCGAAGGCAGCUUACUAAACUAUAACUGACGCUGAGGCACGAAAGCGUGGGGAGCAAACAGGAUUAGAUACCCGAGUAGUC